UGGGAAGUAUUGGACAAUGGGCGCAAGCCUGAUCCAGCCAUGCCGCGUGGGUGAUGAAGGCCCUAGGGUUGUAAAGCCCUUUCGGCGGGAAGAUAAUGACGGUACCUGCAGAAGAAGCCCCGCCGCAACUACGUGCCAGCAGCCGCGGUAAUACGUAGGGCGAAGCGUUGUCCGGAUUUAUUGGGCGUAAAGAGCUCGUAGGUGGUUUGGUAAGUCGGAUGUGAAAUCUCCAGGCUCAACCUGGAGGGGUCAUUCGAUACUGCCAUGACUAGAGGUCGGUAGGGGAGUGUGGAAUUCCUGGUGGAGCGGUGAAAUGCGCAGAUAUCAGGAGGAACACCCGUAGCGAAGGCGGCACUCUGGGCCGAUUCUGACACUGAGGAGCGAAAGCGUGGGGAGCAAACA
RNAcentral lists this ribosomal RNA (402 nucleotides) under uncultured Actinomycetes bacterium. RNAcentral's name for it is "bacterial SSU rRNA". It matches the Rfam family "Bacterial small subunit ribosomal RNA", at positions 355 to 774 of the family's 1533-position model. The record is from RNAcentral. Lineage: Bacteria; Bacillati; Actinomycetota; Actinomycetes.